AUUGAACGCUGGCGGCAUGCCUUACACAUGCAAGUCGAACGGCAGCGGGGGAGAAGCUUGCUUUUCCUGCCGGCGAGUGGCGAACGGGUGAGUAAUACAUCGGAACGUGCCCUGUAGUGGGGGAUAACUAGUCGAAAGAUUAGCUAAUACCCCAUACGACCUGAGGGUGAAAGUGGGGGACCGCAAGGCCGCAUGCUAUAGGAGCGGCCGAUGUCUGAUUAGCUAGUUGGUGGGGUAAAGGCCUACCAAGGCGACGAUCAGUAGCAGGUCUGAGAGGACGAUAAGCCACACUGGGACUGAGACACGGCCCAGACUCCUACGGGAGGCAGCAGUGGGGAAUUUUGGACAAUGGGCGAAAGCCUGAUCCAGCAAUGCCGCGUGUGUGAAGAAGGCCUUCGGGUUGUAAAGCACUUUUGUCCGGAAAGAAAUGGCUCUGGUUAAUACCUGGGGUCGAUGACGGUACCGGAAGAAUAAGGACCGGCUAACUACGUGCCAGCCGCCGCCGUAA
This 508-nucleotide ribosomal RNA is filed under the name uncultured bacterium. RNAcentral describes it as "partial 16S ribosomal RNA". It matches the Rfam family "Bacterial small subunit ribosomal RNA", at positions 30 to 523 of the family's 1533-position model. The record is from RNAcentral.